This 459-nucleotide ribosomal RNA is filed under the name uncultured microorganism. RNAcentral's name for it is "bacterial SSU rRNA". It matches the Rfam family "Bacterial small subunit ribosomal RNA", at positions 346 to 794 of the family's 1533-position model. The record is from RNAcentral.
GUGCAGCAGGCGAGAAUAGUCUACAAUGGACGAAAGUCUGAUAGUGCGACGCCGUGUGUGCGAUUAAUUCCUUCGGGAUGUAAAGCACUUUUCUAUGAGAUAAAAGCUCUUUAGGUUAAUAGCUUAUUGAGACGGAUAUUAUUAUAGGAAUAAGCUCCGGCUAACUCCGUGCCAGCAGCCGCGGUAAUACGGAAGGAGCGAGCGUUGUCCGGAUUUACUAGGCGUAAAGGGCUAGUAGGCGACUAAUUAAGUUAUAUGUUAAAUCCCACGGCUCAACUGUGGUCCUGCAUGUAAUACUGGUUAGAUAGAGUACUGUAGAGGAAGGCAGAAUUCCUGGAGUAGCGGUGGAAUGCGCAGACAUCAGGAAGAAUACCAAAAGCGAAGGCAGCCUUCUGGGCAGUUACUGACGCUGAAUAGCGAAGGUGUGGGUAGCGAACAGGAUUAGAUUACCCCUGUAGU